This is a long non-coding RNA of Felis catus (domestic cat), 2433 nucleotides long. RefSeq lists it as uncharacterized. NCBI's taxonomy places the organism in Eukaryota, Metazoa, Chordata, Mammalia, Carnivora, Felidae. The record is from RefSeq and is a predicted model, not a curated record. The transcript has 2 exons.
CCUUGGAGCUUUCUGUUAUGUGAGAAUCUUCCCUCUUGUAGAGGCCACUUUGAGUCUUCUAUUUUAUUACUUGCAGUCCAAACUGGCAGAUUAUCUGAUAGGAUUGUUGAAGGGAUUUCAAUGAGAUAGGACAUAUAAAGUACCUCUAAUCAGUGCCUGGCACCAUAAACAGUAGCCAAUCUGGAAAUCAGGAAAUUAUCUCAGACUGAGAUAUAUGCCGUGAGACUAUUCCAGGGAGGGCAGACACUCCUGGCCUCACAAAUUAUUUCCCUCUUGCUCUCCUGCUAAGAAAAGCCUGUAGAGUUUUCCGAGAAAGCAGAAACCCAGUGGUGGCCCAGGACCACAGCCCUGCCGCUCCAACGGGGCUGACCCCAGCUUCCCAACAAGAAUCAAUCACGUUGCCUUUUGCCUAAUGGAUUUUGAUUUCCACGCCCCUGACGGUGAAGGCUAGGGCCUGUGCUUUGGCUUGCCUCCCGUUGCCGAACAUCCCAUCAAUUAUUAACAGCGUCAGCUCUGUCUUCCAGUACUGCUAUCAGAAGGAAAUAGUUGUCGCAACUCAGCCCACCUGGUCAUAGAGAAGGGACUGCGCUCAUUAUUUAUAGCAAAAAAGCCCCACCUACUCCUACGCGCACUGUGCUAAAUCUUGACAAACAUGGUUUCUUGAUGACCCUGCAAGGUGGGCCUUUUAGCUCCAAUUUAUAGGUGGAAGGCUAGGGUUUACGGAGGCGAAGAACGUACGUGAGGCCCGAAACUGGGGAGGUGAUGCGGCUGGGCCCAGACCCCUGGUCUGUCCUUGCUCUAAACACAUGAGUAAAAUAUUUGAUCAAUGGUGGUCAGGAUUUCUGCUGAGGAUCAAUGAGCCUGCCUGCCUCCCCAUCUCAGUUCUGCCUGAAGAAUAUCCUAGACUGUCCAUCUGCCAGGAAUGUGAGCUGACAGCCUGAGCCUGGGAUCACGGAGAGGUCAUGAAGCUCGUCCCUGCGAGCGGAUUAACCCGAGGGCAAGAUGAGGCUGUUUAUUGCCAGACGGCGUCUUUUGCAAGCCUGAGCUCCCCUAUCUUGCUGCCAGACUCCAACCCAAACACGGUCCUUUGCCUGCUUCUUCUGUGGGAGGGCGGCUCGACCCCUGUGGCCCCUCAGUCUCAUGUCUUAGGGACAGGACAGGGAGGGGGAAGAGUCAUGUUUGGACCUAAAUAGGGUGUGUGUAGGAAGAACCCAUGUCAGGCCUGGAAAUAGCAAAGUAAGUCUGCUGAUCCUAAGCCGGUUAAGGGUGAGUGACUGUCUUAAGAGGGAGGUUUUUUGGACACGAAACCUAGGGCAGGAUUAUGGUCAGAGGCAGCCCACAGAAGAAGAAACCAGGCCUAGAAAUCUCUACUUAGGGUUGCCAGGGAAGAGAGAAAACCUUCAGGCCUCCCUCCACGAUCCUACCAGCCACCUCCUCUUGCAUUCAUUCUCAGAGGCCUCUUUCUGGGCAGCCAGAUCUAGUAAAAGGACCCAGCCUUGCAGGUGGAUCUUCAGUAAUGGGCUACCUAAGCCAGGGGAAUCCCACAAGGAGAGGCCAGGCCGGGCAGGAGGCAACCUGAGCAAAUACAUGAUGCUGACACAUAUGCUUCCUCCUGGCUUUUUCUUUUUGCCACGAAUACAUUUACCUACCUGCUCACUCCACCCCCACCCUCCUCUUGGCCCCACUCUUCGAAAGUGAGUUAUGUCCAACAUAUCUUUCCCAAAGUGGUCUUCCUGGAUUUCAACAUCAACACUUCUCUUUUCUGGCUCCCCCCGGGCCUCCCACAACCUCUUUUAGAGUGCUGAGCACACUGUGUUGUCAUUCAUUCCCGACACCCUGCCUGUUGGCCACCUGAAGACAGGCCCCAUCUCUCCGAGGCAUUCCCAGAAGCCAGCUCAACACAAAGAAGCCGCUCAUCAACCAGUGACCCCCUUCCCUGGCCUGUCCCCCCACCCCAAGUCUUCCUCAGUCUGUUACAGCCUCUGCCUUUACCCAACAGCACACUGGUCCACUCAGUGUGACUGAAGCCUUUCUGUCUCCUGCUUCAUUUUCCACACUGCCUCAUUUUUCUCUCUCAUUUCAAAAUUUACAUCCUCUUCCGACAGCCCAAGCAUCUUUACAAGCUGCACCAAAUCAUUCUUGGAAUAAACUCACCAAACAAAUAAAGAAAGAACAAACCAGGGGUGACCCUUCGCCCACAAGCAUCCACAGCCAGCUGCAUUCGUCAUGCAUGCACACACCCACCCCUGAGACUCUUUGCCUCAUUUUCCUUACUUAUGUUAAAACUGCCUGACAGUAUUUCAGUGUCCUCCACGCAUGUCUGUAAGCUGCUUCCAUUCCUUCCUUGGGGCAAAGUGGGGUUAUGAAUACAGGGAUAAGUAUUAGAAUCGCAGGUGACCACCCCCCCUCCAGUCUGGGUCUAGGACUCCACAA